UACGUAGGGGGCAAGCGUUAUCCGGAUUUACUGGGUGUAAAGGGAGCGUAGACGGCGAUGCAAGUCUGAAGUGAAAGCCCGGGGCUCAACCCCGGGACUGCUUUGGAAACUGUAUGGCUGGAGUGCUGGAGAGGCAAGCGGAAUUCCUAGUGUAGCGGUGAAAUGCGUAGAUAUUAGGAAGAACACCAGUGGCGAAGGCGAUUCUCUGGACUGUAACUGACGCUGAGGCUCGAAAGCGUGGGGAGCAAACAGG
RNAcentral lists this ribosomal RNA (253 nucleotides) under uncultured bacterium. RNAcentral's name for it is "partial 16S ribosomal RNA". It matches the Rfam family "Bacterial small subunit ribosomal RNA", at positions 524 to 776 of the family's 1533-position model. The record is from RNAcentral.